Molecule: ribosomal RNA, 468 nt
Filed under: uncultured bacterium
Lineage: Bacteria
Description: partial 16S ribosomal RNA
Rfam family: Bacterial small subunit ribosomal RNA
Source: RNAcentral
GACGAACGCUGGCGGCGUGCUUAACACAUGCAAGUCGAACGGAAAUGCCCUGCUGUUGUGGGUUGCUCGAGUGGCGAAAGGGUGAUUAACGCGUGAGUAACCUGCCCUUGACUUUGGGAUAACUUCAGGAAACUGGGGCUAAUAACGGAUAGGAGCUCCUGCUGCAUGGUGGGGGUUGGAAAGUUUCGGCGGUUGGGGAUGGACUCGCGGCUUAUCAUCUUGUUGGUGGGGUAGUGUCUUACCAAGUCUUUGACGGGUAGGCGGCCUGAGAGGGUGACCGGCCACAUUGGGACUGAGAUACGGCCCAGACUCCUACGGGAGGCAGCAGUGGGGAAUCUUGCACAAUGGGCGGAAGCCUGAUGAAGCAACGCCGCGUGCGGGAUGACGGCCUUCGGGUUGUAAACCGCUUUCGCCUGUGACGAAGCGUGAGUGACGGUAAUGGGUAAAGAAGCACCGGCUAACUACGUG